This 484-nucleotide ribosomal RNA is filed under the name uncultured bacterium. RNAcentral's name for it is "partial 16S ribosomal RNA". It matches the Rfam family "Bacterial small subunit ribosomal RNA", at positions 30 to 507 of the family's 1533-position model. The record is from RNAcentral.
AUUGAACGCUGGCGGCAGGCCUAACACAUGCAAGUCGAGCGGAUGAAGGGAGCUUGCUCCUGGAUUCAGCGGCGGACGGGUGAGUAAUGCCUAGGAAUCUGCCUGGUAGUGGGGGAUAACGUCCGGAAACGGGCGCUAAUACCGCAUACGUCCUGAGGGAGAAAGUGGGGGAACUUCGGGCCUCACGCUAUCAGAUGAGCCUAGGUCGGAUUAGCUAGUUGGUGGGGUAAAGGCCUACCAAGGCGACGAUCCGUAACUGGUCUGAGAGGAUGAUCAGUCACACUGGAACUGAGACACGGUCCAGACUCCUACGGGAGGCAGCAGUGGGGAAUAUUGGACAAUGGGCGAAAGCCUGAUCCAGCCAUGCCGCGUGUGUGAAGAAGGUCUUCGGAUUGUAAAGCACUUUAAGUUGGGAGGAAGGGCAGUAAGUUAAUACCUUGCUGUUUUGACGUUACCAACAGAAUAAGCACCGGCUAACUUCGUG